This is a long non-coding RNA of Asparagus officinalis (garden asparagus), 110 nucleotides long. RefSeq lists it as uncharacterized. The record is from RefSeq and is a predicted model, not a curated record. The transcript has 3 exons. NCBI's taxonomy places the organism in Eukaryota, Viridiplantae, Streptophyta, Magnoliopsida, Asparagales, Asparagaceae.
CACAUACGGAUAUAGAUGAUGCGGAAUUAUCGGGUCGUCUACGGGACACAACUCUAGCAUUCUCGCCUCAUAUAGAUAAUUUGGCAGGCAUUGAUUAUUCUUCACCCAGG